CAGCAGCCGCGGUAAUACGUAGGGUGCGAGCGUUUAUCGGAAUUACUGGGCGUAAAGCGUGCGCAGGCGGUUAUAUAAGACAGAUGUGAAAUCCCCGGGCUCAACCUGGGACCUGCAUUUGUGACUGUAUAGCUAGAGUACGGUAGAGGGGGAUGGAAUUCCGCGUGUAGCAGUGAAAUGCGUAGAUAUGCGGAGGAACACCGAUGGCGAAGGCAAUCCCCUGGACCUGUACUGACGCUCAUGCACGAAAGCGUGGGGAGCAAACAGGAUUAGAUACCCGCGUAGUCCCUGUCUCUUAUAC
Molecule: ribosomal RNA, 301 nt
Filed under: uncultured bacterium
Lineage: Bacteria
Description: partial 16S ribosomal RNA
Rfam family: Bacterial small subunit ribosomal RNA
Source: RNAcentral